Molecule: non-coding RNA, 24 nt
Filed under: Rattus norvegicus (Norway rat)
Lineage: Eukaryota; Metazoa; Chordata; Mammalia; Rodentia; Muridae
Source: RNAcentral
GAAUAGGUAUUCAGACCAGGACCC